Molecule: small RNA, 852 nt
Filed under: Pongo abelii (Sumatran orangutan)
Lineage: Eukaryota; Metazoa; Chordata; Mammalia; Primates; Hominidae
Description: processed transcript
Source: RNAcentral
AUUGAACUGUUUGGGGAAAAAGGAAGAAGCUUAUGAAUUGGUUCGUAGAGGUUUGAGAAAUGACUUGAAGAGUCAUGUGUGUUGGCACGUUUAUGGCCUUCUUCAGAGGUCAGACAAGAAGUAUGAUGAAGCCAUUAAGUGUUACAGAAAUGCACUAAAAUGGGAUAAAGACAAUCUUCAAAUCUUAAGGGACCUUUCCUUACUACAGAUUCAAAUGCGAGAUCUUGAGGGUUACAGGGAAACGAGAUAUCAGUUACUUCAGCUUCGACCUGCGCAGAGAGCAUCAUGGAUUGGUUAUGCUAUUGCUUACCAUUUAUUAGAAGAUUAUGAAAUGGCAGCAAAGAUUUUAGAAGAAUUUAGGAAAACACAACAGACAUCCCCUGAUAAGGUGGAUUAUGAAUAUAGUGAACUACUCUUAUAUCAGAAUCAAGUUCUUCGGGAAGCGGGUCUCUAUAGAGAAGCUUUGGAACAUCUUUGUACCUAUGAAAAGCAGAUUUGUGAUAAACUUGCUGUAGAAGAAACCAAAGGGGAACUUCUGUUGCAACUAUGUCGUUUGGAAGAUGCUGCAGAUGUUUAUAGAGGAUUGCAAGAGAGAAAUCCUGAAAACUGGGCCUAUUACAAGGGCUUGGAAAAAGCACUCAAGCCAGCUAAUAUGUUAGAACGGCUAAAAAUUUAUGAGGAAGCCUGGACUAAAUAUCCCAGGGGACUGGUGCCAAGAAGGCUGCCGUUAAACUUUUUAUCUGGUGAGAAGUUUAAAGAAUGUUUGGAUAAGUUCCUAAGGAUGAAUUUCAGCAAGGGUUGCCCACCAGUCUUCAAUACUUUAAGAUCAUUAUACAAAGACAAAGAAAAGGU